GUGAGUAACGCGUGGAUCAUCUGCCUUUUGGUGUCGGAAUAAUCCCCGGGAAACUGGGGCUAAUACCGAAUGGUUCCUACGGGAUAAAGAUUUAUCGCCAAAAGAUGAGUCCGCGUCCGAUUAGCUAGUUGGUGGGGUAACGGCCCACCAAGGCAACGAUCGGUAGCUGGUCUGAGUGGACGAUCAGCCACACUGGGACUGAGACACGGCCCAGACUCCAUACGGGAGGCAGCAGUGGGGAAUAUUGGACAAUGGGGGCAACCCUGAUCCAGCCAUGCCGCGUGAGUGAUGAAGGCCUUCGGGUUGUAAAGCUCUUUUGGCGGGGACGAUGAUGACGGUACCCGCAGAAUAAGCCCCGGCUAACUUCGUGCCAGCCGCCGCGG
Molecule: ribosomal RNA, 383 nt
Filed under: uncultured bacterium
Lineage: Bacteria
Description: bacterial SSU rRNA
Rfam family: Bacterial small subunit ribosomal RNA
Source: RNAcentral